Molecule: ribosomal RNA, 468 nt
Filed under: Laboulbenia oioveliicola
Lineage: Eukaryota; Fungi; Ascomycota; Laboulbeniomycetes; Laboulbeniales; Laboulbeniaceae
Description: LSU rRNA
Rfam family: Eukaryotic large subunit ribosomal RNA
Source: RNAcentral
CAGGGAUUGCCUUAGUAACGGCGAGUGAAGUGGCAACAGCUCAAAUUUAAAAUCUGGUAUAAGCCUGAAUUGUAAUUUGUAAGAGGAUGCUUUAGCCUGUGGUUUACGGCCCAAGUGCCCUGGAAUGGGACGCUGUGGAGGGUGAUAGCCCCGUUAGGGGCCGUUGACCUACAGACAUGUAAAGCUCCCUUGAUGAGUCGAGUUGUUUGGGAUUGCAGCUCUAAAGCGGGAGGUAAAUUCCUUCUAAAGCUAAAUACUAGCUGAGGACCGAUAGUGUACAAGUAGAGUGAUCGAAAGAUGAAAAGCACUUUGGAAAGAGAGUCAAAUAGUAUGUGAAAUUGUUGAGAGAGAAGCGUUUGCAAUCAGAUGUGUGGGGGGUCGGCUCAUCUUAGCUAGUAUAGCUAGGAGCACUCCCUCCCCCUAUGAGCCAGCAUCAGCUUGGGCGGUGGCAGGCCCCAGUUAGGAAUG